UAAGCUCUGCAAGAGGGAGAGCACAAAGCAAUUCCAUGACUCUAAGAUCAAGUUCCCCUUGGUGUUCAAGAAAGUCAGGCCACCUAGCAGGAAACUCAAAACCACAUACAAGGCUACUAGGCCCAACCUGUUCAUGUAACAUGUUUGGUCACAUGUGCAUUGAGAAGCAACUUCUGAUUUCUGCAAUUUUGGUGAUUUAAGAUUCAUUGUGAUAGAGAGAAGGUUUUCCCUUUUUGUUCUGAUCAAAUGAUGGUGGUUAUUAGGAAUAUUUUCAAGCCUGUUCAUGUAACAUGCUUGGUCACAUGUGCAUUGAGAAGCAACUUCUGAUUUCUGCAAUUUUGGUGAUUUAAGAUUCAUUGUGAUAGAGAGAAGGUUUUCCCUUUUUGUUCUGAUCAAAUGAUGGUGGUUAUUAGGAAUAUUUUCAAGCAUGGUAUUUUGUUUGGUUUUAUUGUUGCAGUUCACUUUUGCAAAUUUCACCUUCCUGCGUUUAAAGCAAGACUUACUGAAACAAUCACGCCUUAGCAGGACUAGCUAAUACAUUUUUUUGUUAGGAUUGGUGUAUGUUGCCCUUUUAUGAUGCAGUUCUAGGAUAUUUCCCAGCGGUUACCAGUGAUCAUGCGUACCCGGUCUAACAAUCCAGAUAAAUUUGGGAAGAAUAGCGUGUACCCAGACAUUAUUCCUACUCGGAAAAAGGUCAACAAAUGGCAUCUUCCUACUUGUCAGAUUGAAGAAGAGAAAACUAAGCAAGCUUAUAUAUGAGCCGUCUUAAUGUACAAGCUUUAUUGCCAUAUUUUGUUGUUUGUCUUGGAUGAUGAAGCGUUAGUUGUUUUACUGCUAGCUACUUGCCUCUCUCUACUCUUGUAAAGAAGGCAUGGAUAUGCCUGAUCACGCCUAACUCUAGUCCUAAAAAGGAUAAGCGGUAACUGCAAAUAUAAAUCGGUCUAAAAGUUUGAAGUCAAAUCCCAUAGAAAAUUAA
RNAcentral lists this long non-coding RNA (976 nucleotides) under Nicotiana benthamiana. Its description in RNAcentral is "long non-coding RNA (NBEN_LNC017372)". Lineage: Eukaryota; Viridiplantae; Streptophyta; Magnoliopsida; Solanales; Solanaceae. The record is from RNAcentral.